This 253-nucleotide ribosomal RNA is filed under the name uncultured bacterium. Its description in RNAcentral is "partial 16S ribosomal RNA". It matches the Rfam family "Bacterial small subunit ribosomal RNA", at positions 524 to 776 of the family's 1533-position model. The record is from RNAcentral. RNAcentral also lists the same sequence under 1 other name.
UACGUAGGGUGCAAGCGUUAAUCGGAAUUACUGGGCGUAAAGCGUGCGCAGGCGGUUUUGUAAGUCUGUCGUGAAAUCCUCGGGCUCAACCUGAGAAUUGCGAUGGAGACUGCAAGGCUAGAAUCUGGCAGAGGGGGGUAGAAUUCCACGUGUAGCAGUGAAAUGCGUAGAGAUGUGGAGGAACACCGAUGGCGAAGGCAGCCCCCUGGGUCAAGAUUGACGCUCAUGCACGAAAGCGUGGGGAGCAAACAGG